CCCGCUGAACUUAAGCAUAUCAAUAAGCGGAGGAAAAGAAACUAACAAGGAUUCCCCUAGUAACUGCGAGUGAAGCGGGAAAAGCUCAAAUUUGAAAUCUGGCGUCUCCGGCGUCCGAGUUGUAUUCUGGAGAAGCGUUUUCCGUGCUGGACCGUGUACAAGUCCCUUGGAACAGGGCGUCAUAGAGGGUGAGAAUCCCGUCUUUGACACGGACUGCCAGUGCUCUGCGAUGCGCUCUCGAAGAGUCGAGUUGUUUGGGAAUGCAGCUCAAAACGGGUGGUAAAUUCCAUCUAAAGCUAAAUAUUGGCGAGAGACCGAUAGCGAACAAGUACCGUGAGGGAAAGAUGAAAAGCACUUUGGAAAGAGAGUGAAACAGUACGUGAAAUUGUUGAAAGGGAAACGCUUGUAGUCAGUCGCGUCUUCUGGAACUCAGCCUUGCUUCUGCUCGGUGCACUUUCCAGUUUGACGGGUCAGCAUCGGUUUCGGUGGGGCAGACAAAGGCGGAGGGAAGGUGGCCGCUCCGGCGGUGUUAUAGCCCUCCGUUGUACGUGCCCGCUGGGACCGAGGAAUCCGGCUCGCGCCUGGGAUGCUGGCGUAAUGGCUCUAAGCGACCCGUCUUGAAACACGG
This 628-nucleotide ribosomal RNA is filed under the name uncultured fungus. RNAcentral's name for it is "eukaryotic LSU rRNA". It matches the Rfam family "Eukaryotic large subunit ribosomal RNA", at positions 24 to 664 of the family's 3401-position model. Lineage: Eukaryota; Fungi. The record is from RNAcentral.